RNAcentral lists this ribosomal RNA (353 nucleotides) under uncultured Alkalilactibacillus sp. RNAcentral describes it as "bacterial SSU rRNA". It matches the Rfam family "Bacterial small subunit ribosomal RNA", at positions 573 to 924 of the family's 1533-position model. The record is from RNAcentral. Lineage: Bacteria; Bacillati; Bacillota; Bacilli; Caryophanales.
AGGCGGUCUUCUAAGUCUGAUGUGAAAUCUCGUGGCUUAACCACGAGCGGUCAUUGGAAACUGGGAGACUUGAGUACAGAAGAGGAGAGUGGAAUUCCACGUGUAGCGGUGAAAUGCGUAGAUAUGUGGAGGAACACCAGUGGCGAAGGCGACUCUCUGGUCUGUAACUGACGCUGAGGAGCGAAAGCGUGGGGAGCGAACAGGAUUAGAUACCCUGGUAGUCCACGCCGUAAACGAUGAGUGCUAGGUGUUGGAUCCUUUCCGGGAUUCAGUGCCGCAGCUAACGCAUUAAGCACUCCGCCUGGUCGACGCGGCCGCAAGGUUGAAACUCAAAGGAAUUGACGGGGACCCGC